UACGUAGGGUGCGAGCGUUGUCCGGAAUUAUUGGGCGUAAAGGGCUCGUAGGCGGUCUGUUGUGUCAAGAGUGAAAACUCGGGGCUUAACCCCGAGCCUGCUUCUGAUACGGGCAGACUAGAGGUAUGCAGGGGAGAACGGAAUUCCUGGUGUAGCGGUGAAAUGCGCAGAUAUCAGGAGGAACACCGGUGGCGAAGGCGGUUCUCUGGGCAUUACCUGACGCUGAGGAGCGAAAGUGUGGGGAGCGAACAGG
Molecule: ribosomal RNA, 253 nt
Filed under: uncultured bacterium
Lineage: Bacteria
Description: partial 16S ribosomal RNA
Rfam family: Bacterial small subunit ribosomal RNA
Source: RNAcentral